RNAcentral lists this ribosomal RNA (460 nucleotides) under uncultured bacterium. RNAcentral's name for it is "partial 16S ribosomal RNA". It matches the Rfam family "Bacterial small subunit ribosomal RNA", at positions 338 to 795 of the family's 1533-position model. The record is from RNAcentral.
CCUACGGGCGGCAGCAGUGAGGAAUAUUGGUCAAUGGACGAGAGUCUGAACCAGCCAAGUAGCGUGAAGGAUGACUGCCCUAUGGGUUGUAAACUUCUUUUAUAUGGGAAUAAAAUGUUCCACGUGUGGGAUUUUGUAUGUACCAUAUGAAUAAGGAUCGGCUAACUCCGGUCCAGCAGCCGCGGAAAUACGGAGGAUCCGAGCGUUCUCCGGAUUUAUUGGGUUUAAAGGGAGCGUAGGUGGAUUGUUAAGUCAGUUGUGAAAGGUUGCGGCUCAACCGUAAAAUUGCAGUUGAAACUGGCAGUCUUGAGUACAGUAGAGGUGGGCGGAAUUCGUGGUGUAGCGGUGAAAUGCUGAGAUAUCACGAAGAACUCCGAUUGCGAAGGCAGCUCACUGGACUGCAACUGACACUGAGGCUCGAAAGUGUGGGUAUCAAACAGGAUUAGAUACCCGUGUAGUC